UGGUGGAGUGAUUUGUCUGCUUAAUUGCGAUAACGAACGAGACCUUAACCUGCUAAAUAGAUAGGCAAACUUUGGUUUGUUCUAGCUUCUUAGAGGGACUGACAACAUCUAGUUGUCGGAAGUUUGAGGCAAUAACA
Molecule: ribosomal RNA, 137 nt
Filed under: uncultured eukaryote
Lineage: Eukaryota
Description: partial 18S ribosomal RNA
Rfam family: Eukaryotic small subunit ribosomal RNA
Source: RNAcentral